CCUACGGGUGGCAGCAGUGGGGAAUAUUGGGCAAUGGGCGCAAGCCUGACCCAGCAACGCCGCGUGAAGGAAGAAGGCUUUCGGGUUGUAAACUUCUUUUCUCAGGGACGAAGAAAGUGACGGUACCUGAGUAAUAAGCCACGGCUAACUACGUGCCAGCAGCCGCGGUAAUACGUAGGUGGCAAGCGUUAUCCGGAUUUAUUGGGUGUAAAGGGCGUGUAGGCGGGAGCGCAAGUCAGAUGUGAAAACUCAGGGCUAAACCCUGAGCCUGCAUUUGAAACUGUGUUUCUUGAGUGCUGGAGAGGUAAGCGGAAUUCCGUGUGUAGCGGUGAAAUGCGUAGAGAUACGGAGGAACACCAGUGGCGAAGGCGGAUUGCUGGACAGUAACUGACGCUGAGGCGCGAAAGCGUGGGGAGCAAACAGGAUUAGAUACCCGUGUAGUC
RNAcentral lists this ribosomal RNA (443 nucleotides) under uncultured bacterium. Its description in RNAcentral is "partial 16S ribosomal RNA". It matches the Rfam family "Bacterial small subunit ribosomal RNA", at positions 338 to 795 of the family's 1533-position model. The record is from RNAcentral.